RNAcentral lists this transfer RNA (64 nucleotides) under Mystilus priamus. RNAcentral's name for it is "tRNA-Asn". Lineage: Eukaryota; Metazoa; Arthropoda; Insecta; Hemiptera; Miridae. The record is from RNAcentral.
UUAACUAAAGCCAAAAAGAGGCACUUCACUGUUAAUGAUGAUAUUGAGUUUAACUCUAGUUAAA